Molecule: ribosomal RNA, 429 nt
Filed under: Chloroflexota bacterium
Lineage: Bacteria; Bacillati; Chloroflexota
Description: Chloroflexi bacterium partial 16S ribosomal RNA
Rfam family: Bacterial small subunit ribosomal RNA
Source: RNAcentral
UGGGGAAUAUUGCACAAUGGGCGCAAGCCUGAUGCAGCCAUGCCGCGUGUAUGAAGAAGGCCUUCGGGUUGUAAAGUACUUUCAGCGGGGAGGAAGGGAGUAAAGUUAAUACCUUUGCUCAUUGACGUUACCCGCAGAAGAAGCACCGGCUAACUCCGUGCCAGCAGCCGCGGUAAUACGGAGGGUGCAAGCGUUAAUCGGAAUUACUGGGCGUAAAGCGCACGCAGGCGGUUUGUUAAGUCAGAUGUGAAAUCCCCGGGCUCAACCUGGGAACUGCAUCUGAUACUGGCAAGCUUGAUUCUCGUAGAGGGGGGUAGAAUUCCAGGUGUAGCGAUGAAAUGCGUAGAGAUCUGGAGGAAUACCGGUGGCGAAGGCGGCACCCUGGACGAAGACUGACGCUCAGGUGCGAAAGCGUGGGGAGCAAACAGG